UGAGGAAUAUUGGGCAAUGCCCGCAAGGGUGACCCAGCAACGCCGCGUGGAGGAUGAAUGUCGUAAGAUUGUAAACUCCUGUUAGAGGGGAAGAAUAGUACCGGUUGGACCGGUAUAUGACUGUACCCUCAGAGAAAGCCCCGGCUAACUACGUGCCAGCAGCCGCGGUAAUACGUAGGGGGCAAGCGUUGUCCGGAUUUACUGGGUGUAAAGGGCGCGCAGGCGGGAUAAAAAGUCAGUGGUGGAAUCCUACAGCUUAACUGUAGAACUGCCUUUGAUACUUUUAUUCUUGAGUUCGGGAGAGAGAGACGGAAUUCCAGGUGUAGUGGUGAAAUACGUAGAUAUCUGGAAGAACACCAGUUGCGAAGGCGGUCUCUUGGUCCGACACUGACGCUGAGGCGCGAAAGCGUGGGGAGCAAACA
This 422-nucleotide ribosomal RNA is filed under the name uncultured bacterium. Its description in RNAcentral is "bacterial SSU rRNA". It matches the Rfam family "Bacterial small subunit ribosomal RNA", at positions 355 to 774 of the family's 1533-position model. The record is from RNAcentral.